AACCCAUGGUGAGGGUACCUUAUCAAUAAAUUUUUAUUCCUCUCUCAUGCAUCAUAUAACGUCUCUAAAUCAAUUUGCACAAAGGAAGAGAUGUCAUUCCUCAACUU
Gossypium raimondii (Peruvian cotton) is the source of this 107-nucleotide small nucleolar RNA. It matches the Rfam family "Plant small nucleolar RNA R71". Rfam says of the family: R71 is a member of the C/D box family of snoRNAs containing the C (UGAUGA) and D (CUGA) box motifs. Multiple nearly identical copies of this snoRNA have been identified in Arabidopsis, and it is thought to function as a 2'-O-ribose methylation guide for 18S ribosomal RNA. The record is from Rfam. NCBI's taxonomy places the organism in Eukaryota, Viridiplantae, Streptophyta, Magnoliopsida, Malvales, Malvaceae.